Molecule: long non-coding RNA, 1204 nt
Filed under: Gossypium raimondii (Peruvian cotton)
Lineage: Eukaryota; Viridiplantae; Streptophyta; Magnoliopsida; Malvales; Malvaceae
Description: long non-coding RNA (GRAI_LNC001643)
Source: RNAcentral
GCUUAGUGACAGUGUACAACCAAGGCCCUCAAAGACUGAAAGCUCUUGAUACCAUUUGUUGGAACACUGGCAGCAACAACCAAACAAUGAAACACUAAGAGCAUAAGCUCUUCAAACAGCAAGCAGAAACACAAAGCAUCAAGAGCAUAAGCUCUCGGUUAACAGGCAGAAAAAAGAAAAAGAAAGAACAAUGGCAGCAGCUCUUAGAAAAAGAACAAAACAGAGAACAAAGGAGGAAGAAACAAAAAUAAUUUACUUGCUCACAAACGUGCAGCAAGGAAGCAAUCUAAGUUUCACAACUGAUAUGCUUAAUUUUUCAAUAAGAAAAACAAUACAUUUAUAGCUAACUACAUCAGUUAUUACUACCUAAUACCACUAAGUAGCCUAGUAACUUUAAAAACAUUGCUUGUACACAUGGAUAAGCUGACUUAUCAGCUCAACCAACCCAUCAAAACAUCAACAUCAAAGUUCAUUCUCAACCAAACUAAAUUACAGAAUCAUUAUAGUACCAUGCAUUUUAACAAAAACAUAAUAGCAGCAUGGUUGGCCAUUUUCAACACUCCUCCUUGGACUCCAUGCUGCAAUACCAGUCAUUCAUCAAGUUUUUUGAACUUGGCAGCUCUUAGAUGCUUUGAUUCAAGCUGACCAAUUCAUUUUCAACCUUGGCCUCAUUCACAAACAACAAAUCUGACUUACACACUUGACUAUCCCAGUCUUUUGUGUCAAAGAUUUGUUCACCAAAUGGAGUCUUCUCCUCCUUCACAGCCUUGGUUGACAACACAUCUUGCCUUGUUUCUUUGCUUCUUCUUGCACAAACAGUUCGUGAGUAUAGUUUGCUUGCCUUCAUUCUGCCAUUUUGGCUUGCAAUUCGACAGGCUCACACUUUGCUUACUGUCUUCAAUAGGCUUGCAACUAUUCAACACACAUUGAGCUUCCACAUGUUGCUGAACUCACACCUUUGACAGACUCACAUCUUUGCAUAUUGUCUUCAACAGGUGUCUUCAACAGGCUCGCACUUUGCUAAGCUUGCAGCUUUGACAUCUUGCUAAGCUUGCACAUUUGGAAAGCUCACACCUUUCCUUGAAACUCCUCCUUUAGCUUAUUCAAGCUUGUUUGGAGGUCUCAUAAGUUUGAGCCGAUGUUGAGCAGGGGAAGCAAAAUCAAUGGUCCCUUAAGACUUAGGCUCAUGAUACCAUUUGUUGGA